UGGGGAAUUUUGGACAAUGGGCGAAAGCCUGAUCCAGCAAUGCCGCGUGUGUGAAGAAGGCCUUCGGGUUGUAAAGCACUUUUGUCCGGAAAGAAAUUCUUGGCUCUAAUACAGUCGGGGGAUGACGGUACCGGAAGAAUAAGCACCGGCUAACUACGUGCCAGCAGCCGCGGUAAUACGUAGGGUGCAAGCGUUAAUCGGAAUUACUGGGCGUAAAGCGUGCGCAGGCGGUUUGCUAAGACCGAUGUGAAAUCCCCGGGCUCAACCUGGGAACUGCAUUGGUGACUGGCAGGCUAGAGUAUGGCAGAGGGGGGUAGAAUUCCACGUGUAGCAGUGAAAUGCGUAGAGAUGUGGAGGAAUACCGAUGGCGAAGGCAGCCCCCUGGGCCAAUACUGACGCUCAUGCACGAAAGCGUGGGGAGCAAACAGGAUUAGAUACCCUGGUAGUCCACGCCCUAAACGAUGUCAACUAGUUGUUGGGGAUUCAUUCCUUAGUAACGUAGCUAACGCGUGAAGUUGACCGCCUGGGGAGUACGGUCGCAAGAUUAAAACUUAAAUGAAUUGACGGGGUCAUAGCUGUUUCCU
RNAcentral lists this ribosomal RNA (584 nucleotides) under uncultured bacterium. RNAcentral's name for it is "partial 16S ribosomal RNA". It matches the Rfam family "Bacterial small subunit ribosomal RNA", at positions 355 to 1375 of the family's 1533-position model. The record is from RNAcentral.